CCACAAUUUAUGAACCUCUCGCGGAGCACGCGCGUACGCCACGAGAUCACUCUCACGG
This 58-nucleotide ribosomal RNA is filed under the name Rhodella violacea. Its description in RNAcentral is "partial 5.8S ribosomal RNA". The record is from RNAcentral. Lineage: Eukaryota; Rhodophyta; Rhodellophyceae; Rhodellales; Rhodellaceae.